UUUCCUACGGGAGGCAGCAGUGAGGAAUAUUGGUCAAUGGCCGGAAGGCUGAACCAGCCAAGCCGCGUGAAGGACGAAGGUGCCAAGCAUUGUAAACUUCUUUUGUCAAGGGACAAAAUCAGGCUCGAGAGCCUGACCGAGGGUACUUGAAGAAAAAGCAUCGGCUAACUCCGUGCCAGCAGCCGCGGUAAUACGGAGGAUGCGAGCGUUAUCCGGAUUUACUGGGUGUAAAGGGAGCGCAGGCGGUUCUGCAAGUCUGAUGUGAAAGCCCGGGGCUCCACCGCGGGACCGCAUUGGAAACUGCG
Molecule: ribosomal RNA, 305 nt
Filed under: uncultured bacterium
Lineage: Bacteria
Description: bacterial SSU rRNA
Rfam family: Bacterial small subunit ribosomal RNA
Source: RNAcentral